UACCGCUUCAAUUAAAUAUUCCUUCUUUAUUAUUUUUUAUUCUCUCUUUCUCUCUCUUCCUCUCUGUCUGUUUCUCUUCUCUGAACCAAGAUCAACCACCAAAGUGAACAAACUUUCACUCUUUCUUCUCAACUCAGCAAACCCACUACCACCUAAAACCCCCCACAUCACAACCUAGCCAUAGCCACCUCCAAAUACCCAUUACCCAGCGACCAUGAUCACUGCCAGAUACCCGCUCCCCAGCCACCAUGAUCACAACCCAUCAUCGCAAGAUCGACUCACUGAGACCCACCAAACCCAUAGCCUAGCCACCGUGAUCACAACCCAAACCCCACUGCAACAAAUUUAAAAAAAUAAAAAAUAUUGGCAGUUCAUAUAAAACCCUUAAUUUUGUGGCCUAUAGGUUAUGUAAUGGAUACCUAAAGUAUGUGUUUUUAGGUGAUUGGUGGAUUCUGAAUGUUGUCCAGAAAGAUAUUGUUUGUAUCUAGAUAUUUUCGUUCAUGAUAUAUUUAUGUAUUGAUGUUUGACUGCUGGUUCCCUUCUCUACAGGGAAUUGGAUUCCUUAAUGAUCCCCGUAGGCUCAAUGUUGCUCUAACUCGUGCUCGAUAUGGUAUUGUCAUUCUGGGGAAUCCUAAAGUCCUGAGCAAACAGCCACUGAGGUAUAGCUUAUUGACACACUACAAGGCAUCAAAAGAACUUAAUGAUUAAUGGGAUCUCAUGUGUAUUGAAGAGGACCCAGCUAUAGAUCCAGAUGUCUAAAUAGCAGAUACAAGUCACUAUGUUUUUAAAAUUUCCAAUGAAUUGGUCUUGAAGGUUGAAGCUUAAAAGAUAUAAGAAUCUUCUACUUUGAAAGGUAGAUGACAAUGUAAAUUUUAGAGUGUAAAGGGCAGCAGGCAGAGUAGUUGAGUUGUAUUGAUUUUUAC
This is a long non-coding RNA of Quercus robur (English oak), 923 nucleotides long. RefSeq lists it as uncharacterized. NCBI's taxonomy places the organism in Eukaryota, Viridiplantae, Streptophyta, Magnoliopsida, Fagales, Fagaceae. The record is from RefSeq and is a predicted model, not a curated record. The transcript has 2 exons.